AAGCUCAGGAGGGAUAACGCC
Molecule: microRNA, 21 nt
Filed under: Helianthus annuus (common sunflower)
Lineage: Eukaryota; Viridiplantae; Streptophyta; Magnoliopsida; Asterales; Asteraceae
Source: RNAcentral